UACGUAGGGUGCAAGCGUUGUCCGGAAUUAUUGGGCGUAAAGAGCUCGUAGGCGGUUUGUUGCGUCGGAUGUGAAAUCCCGAGGCUCAACCUCGGGUCUGCAGUCGAUACGAGCAAACUAGAGUGUUGCAGGGGAGACUGGAAUUCCUGGUGUAGCGGUGAAAUGCGCAGAUAUCAGGAGGAACACCGGUGGCGAAGGCGGGUCUCUGGGCCGAUACUGACGCUGAGGUGCGAAAGCGUGGGGAGCAAACAGG
Molecule: ribosomal RNA, 253 nt
Filed under: uncultured bacterium
Lineage: Bacteria
Description: partial 16S ribosomal RNA
Rfam family: Bacterial small subunit ribosomal RNA
Source: RNAcentral